CCCGUAAUCGGAAUGAGUACACUUUAAAUCCUUUAACAAGGAUCCAUUGGAGGGCAAGUCUGGUGCCAGCAGCCGCGGUAAUUCCAGCUCCAAUAGCGUAUAUUAAAGUUGUUGCGGUUAAAAAGCUCGUAGUUGGUUCUGCGUGCCGCGCUGUCGGUUCGCCGCCUGUCGGUGUAACUGGCAUGUCGCGGCAUGUCCUGUCGGUGGUAAACGGGGGGCCCCGGUAUUGCUUUGACUUUUUCGAAAGUCAAUUCUGGUGCCGGGCUGUUUCCCUGUUUGCCGAUCUCCUACUUCGGUGCUCUUAAACGAGUGUCGAGGUAGGCCGACACUAUCACUUUGAACAAAUUAGAGUGCUUAAAGCAGGCUAAAAUCUCUGCCUGAAUAGUGGUGCAUGGAAUGAUAAAAUAGGACCUCGGUUCUAUUUUGUUGGUUUUAGGAAUAUGAGGUAAUGAUCAAUAUGGACAGUCGGGGGCAUUCGUAUUGCGACGUUAGAGGUGAAAUUCUUGGAUCGUCGCAAGACGCACAAAAGCGAAAGCAAUUGCCAAGUAUGUCUUAAUUGAUCAAGAACGAAAGUUAGAGGUUCGAAGGCGAUCAGAUACCGCCCUAGUUCUAACCAUAAACGAUGCCAGCCAGCAAUCCGCCGAUGUUCUUUUUAUGACUCGGCGGGGAGCUUCUACUCGGGAAACCAAAGCUUUUGGGUUCCGGGGGAAGUAUGGUUGCAAAGCUGAAACUUAAAGGAAUUGACGGAAGGGCACCACCAGGAGUGGAGCCUGCGGCUUAAUUUGACUCAACACGGGAAACC
RNAcentral lists this ribosomal RNA (802 nucleotides) under Polytoxus sp. RNAcentral's name for it is "SSU rRNA". It matches the Rfam family "Eukaryotic small subunit ribosomal RNA", at positions 502 to 1214 of the family's 1831-position model. The record is from RNAcentral. Lineage: Eukaryota; Metazoa; Arthropoda; Insecta; Hemiptera; Reduviidae.